Molecule: non-coding RNA, 54 nt
Organism: Salmo salar (Atlantic salmon)
Lineage: Eukaryota; Metazoa; Chordata; Actinopteri; Salmoniformes; Salmonidae
Source: Rfam
UGUAUUCACUACUGUAAGUCGCUCUGGAUAAGAGCGUCUGCUAAAUGACCAAAA